UACGUAGGGGGCAAGCGUUGUCCGGAAUCAUUGGGCGUAAAGCGAGCGUAGGCGGCCCGAUAAGUCUGCUGUGAAAGUCAACGGCUCAACCGUUGAAAGCCGGUGGAUACUGUCGGGCUAGAGUUCGGAAGAGGCAAGUGGAAUUCCUGGUGUAGCGGUGGAAUGCGCAGAUAUCAGGAGGAACACCCAUAGCGAAGGCAGCUUGCUGGGACGAUACUGACGCUAAGGCUCGAAAGCGUGGGGAGCGAACAGGAUUAGAAACCCGCGUAGUCC
This 273-nucleotide ribosomal RNA is filed under the name uncultured bacterium. Its description in RNAcentral is "partial 16S ribosomal RNA". It matches the Rfam family "Bacterial small subunit ribosomal RNA", at positions 524 to 796 of the family's 1533-position model. The record is from RNAcentral.